Molecule: non-coding RNA, 212 nt
Organism: Pelobates cultripes (western spadefoot toad)
Lineage: Eukaryota; Metazoa; Chordata; Amphibia; Anura; Pelobatidae
Source: the annotation of a GenBank genome assembly
ACGAACCAAAUGCAGGGGAAGCGGCAAUCUCCCGAUCGAGAUCCGUGAACGGCUCCAAACUCCCGAACGGCAAUACACGAACUGCUGCUAACCGUCGAACAGCAAUAUUCACCAAGCGGCUUCCGUUCCAUCUAGCAGUCUCUAAACGUGAAGAAGAAAUCCCCCCAAUAACGAGACAGAAGCUCCGCAUUGAGGGUCAAACAGGAUCUGGC